RNAcentral lists this ribosomal RNA (514 nucleotides) under uncultured bacterium. RNAcentral describes it as "partial 16S ribosomal RNA". It matches the Rfam family "Bacterial small subunit ribosomal RNA", at positions 355 to 861 of the family's 1533-position model. The record is from RNAcentral.
UGGGGAAUUUUGGACAAUGGGCGCAAGCCUGAUCCAGCCAUGCCGCGUGCGGGAAAAGGGCCUUCGGGUUGUAAACCGCUUUUGUCAGGGAAGAAAUCUUCUGAGUUAAUACCUCGGGAGGAUGACGGUACCUGAAGAAUAAGCACCGGCUAACUACGUGCCAGCAGCCGCGGUAAUACGUAGGGUGCAAGCGUUAAUCGGAAUUACUGGGCGUAAAGCGUGCGCAGGCGGUUUUGUAAGACAGAGGUGAAAUCCCCGGGCUCAACCUGGGAACUGCCUUUGUGACUGCAAGGCUUGAGUGCGGCAGAGGGGGAUGGAAUUCCGCGUGUAGCAGUGAAAUGCGUAGAUAUGCGGAGGAACACCGAUGGCGAAGGCAAUCCCCUGGGCCUGCACUGACGCUCAUGCACGAAAGCGUGGGGAGCAAACAGGAUUAGAUACCCUGGUAGUCCACGCCCUAAAACGAUGUCAACUGGUUGUUGGGAAGGUUCCUUCUCAGUAACGUAGCUGACGCGUG